AAAAGAUAAAAAAGAAGAAGAAGGGGCAUUGAUAAAAACAUAGUAGCUAGUAAACCUGAUAAUGAAAAUACUAAUAAAUAAAACUACUAGUAAAUAAAUAUAUUUUUAAGAAAAGAAGCAAUUGAACAAUAAACAACGAAACAUAGUGUCAGAAGUGUAGUCGAAAAUCACCGACAGCUUAAAAAGAAUAAAAAAUAAAAGUUAGACAGAAGCCAUUUUCCCUCCAAUAAAUAUAAUUAAAAACGAGGAGUUAAAAAUAAGAAAAUCGUACGGAUGUAUCAAAAGUGUAGUGAAAAAUGGAAUACUUCAAGUCCCCGGAAGCGUUUAACGUACAGGAGCCACAUGGAUGGUCCAAAUGGAAGCAAAUAUUUGUAAUAUUUUUGUUAGCUUCAGGAAAAAGCACUACUGAGGAAAAUAUAAAAGUAGCUGUUGAAUAUUCUUCUAUAUCUAUAAUACAUUUGAAACAACCAAAACUUAAAAACUAAAUGAAGUGUUAUUUUGUUUUGAUGAUCAUUUCUUACCCAAAGAAAUGACAAACAGCACCAAAACAAGUGGUAAGAACGAGGUAAUUAUUCUAAUUCCAAACAGCCAGAAAACGGGAGGCAGGGAGAAUAUUGGUCAAAUGAACAAGAUGAAGCUGAGGUUAAGAAACUAAAUCAGAAGUACAGGUUUUGGGCAAUGUAAACUCAGAAUUCAGAUAUUAUAAGUAGGGACAAUGCAGAGUAAAAAUGGUUAAAAUUAUGAAGCUGAAGAAAGCCACAGAGUUUAAAAAUAUUAGCAUUCAAAUAACACCAACAUUAUGAAUUAGUGAAAGGUAGUAGGAAGAAGCUUCAGAACAUAUGCGGAGAACCAGAAUAAAACAGGUCUUUCCAAUAUUGAAAUGCUCCAUCUUUUGAAUGUCAACUACAAUUCAUUGAUGGAAACACAAAUAAUAAUGAAAGAAAAUUUGUAGGAUGCCACUUCAAAUUAUUGUAUUCAUUAUUUGACAGGAAAAUGAUUUUUUUAUACUCAGUUGAAGAGUAGUAGUAUAGGAGCUAGUAACGUUUUUGAGAGAGAAUUCCAGGUCAGUUGAUUUUUUGAUAUGUCGUUAUUCUUACUCUUUCGGUUAGAGUCUGGGCUACCUGGCUAGCAGUAGCAGUUUCGUUUGUUAAUGCGUAUCCUACUUGUACAAGUAAUAAUCCUGAAUUUUUUUAUAAUUAUUGAACGCGUAAUUUUUAAAGUUUUGUCUUUAGAUAGGUCUCACAGACACACAUUUUUUAUUGCCAGGCAUUUUCAGUGUGCGAAUUUUUUAUUUCCUAAAAUCUAAAAAUUCAAAACAUUUUAGAAUGUCCGUAUUUUUUAUAUUGUAUUCUUUGAAGAUAAAAUAGUCUAAAGAUAAUUUGCCAAAAAAAUUAAAAACUCAUGUAAAGUAUUGCCCUAUGAUGCUAGUAGUCAGAGAGAAAGAGAGAGAGUUGUAGAAUAUGAUCAAGAAUGAGACGAAAAUAAUUUCAAAAUUACGUUACUUACAUUCCUUCUAUUCAGAACAAAUUUAUAUAUAAGAAAUUCAAACAUUGGAACAGAAAUAAAAUUGGAAUAAAGUUCAAUUAGAGAGAAGAAAAUUGAAAAAUGCGUCAUUAACGUUUUAAAAUUUAUUGAAUUUAUUGAAAAUAAAAUUUGAUUUUUCUAACAUUUAAAAGUCCCAACUUUACCUUUUCUAAAAAAUGCUGGCGUGUACUUACAUCCAGUAAGCACCUGGAAACAUGGUAUAGCUUUCUAUAAAGAGACACCAAGGAUUCAGUACAGUUCAUUUACGUUGAUGUAUCGCUGAUGAUUGCCUACACCCAUAUUUUUCCAAAUUUUUGAAAGAUGCGUUUAAAUGAUCCAUAUUUUCCAGAAGUAUAAUUUAAAUAUCAGAGUCUGAACAGCAUAUAACAAAUUCUGCGUCUAAAUCAAUUUGACAAAUGUGGAAAAUAAUUCUAGAAUCAGCUUCUUCUUGUUUUUCACAUGAUAAUGAUUCUUCAGUAAUUUUAAUAUGUUAUUUGUAAUUUUUUAAGAAUGACAUUUAUUAGAACUUCCGUAAAUUGUUUUAUUAACAAUAAAAGUUAUAAUAUUUCUUCAGUAUCCCAGUGAUUAAUGAAAAAGUUGAACAAGAGCUUGUUUGAAUUGGAUAUUUUUGAGUUCUGCUCCAAAAUUAUGUGGCCGAACUUGAUUUGGACAAAUAGAUAUUGGACAAGUUUAUUCUUCUCGGCGUGAACGCUCACAAUCUUUGAUAGACGGCAAAAAAUAUUGGUCGAAGAUAAUGUCAAUCCGAAUAGAUUUCUUAUGGAAGAUAGUACUCAGAAAUUUUUUAGAUAUACCGUCAUAUGUACAUCUUUCAUUAGAUGCAACAAAAAGAAAACAUCAACAAGACAAACAUCAAAAGAUGACAUUUGUUGCUCAACAGUGUCUAUGAGCUUAGCUAACUGUGAUUUGUUAGUUUUACAGAUUGAACCAUCCGGAUGACACAUUGAUGUUGGCAUUGGAGUAAGUGGGAAUGUCAAAACUUUCUCGAUAUGAACCUUAUGAGUGAAGGAAAUCCCCAACAUUCUACUGAAUAGAAUCACAACUCAACAAUUUUAUUCCUUAAAUCAAUUUAUUUUUCUUUGGCGAUUUAGCAAAAUUAAAGACUUUAGUUUUUUUAUUGGCUUCACAAAUCUACUUUCAUCUUCAACGCAUUCAUUGACAAAUUGGUUCCUUAAAUCAUUACCAUUUUCUCAUUAUUUAGUAGAAAAUUCGCAACCUUAGGAGAAGCAGGUCUUGAAGUAGCAAUCUUGUACAAAUUCUCCUUAUAUAAUGUUUGAUCGAAUCAAUUUUUUUCGAUUAUUUCAAUGAAAUCAGCAAUUUGUUUUCCAUAGAUUUUUAUUCUAUUGGGUUGUAAUUUUGCUGUAACAUCUUACCUUAAGACAAACAUCCAAGACAUGUGCGUUGACGUGCAGCUAUAAAAUUAGUAAAGUGAGCAAUUCCACUCAGUCAUUUUGCCACAUCGGCAUUUAUAGUUGGUUCUAAAGUGAGAUCUAUUGGUUCUCAUGAGAAUGGCUUAUCAGUUCUCUUGACUCCAAAAUAUCCUUUAUUAAAAUCAUCUUCUAGUCCGGGAUAGGUUUUACUGACAUUAUUCAAAUUAUCUGAAUAUUUUACUCAAUAUCGAGCGUAAUUAGGUUGAUUAAUCAAUUGAUUGGUAUAAUCAAUAUUCGUGUUGGUGAUAAAUGUUCUGAAUAACAAUUCCCAUCAUCUUAGUUCAAUUCGCUAUGGGAAUUAUUAUCGAUGUUUUGGUAAAUCUCCACAGUAUCAUGUCAAGUUUCUUUUCCGUCCAAGGUGUCAAUGUAUCUUAUCAAAAUUGUCAAAGGCAACACCAGGGCACAGUGAGGAAUUUAUAAUGAUGUCUGGCGGACAAACUUGAUACCUUUAUAACGAUGCAAUUGUUGCUUCUGUUUCCAAUUCUUCUAGAGUAUUGUAGUUACAGCAAUCUCCUAAUCUAUUUGAAAUAUUUAUUUUUUUUUACUGCUUGUUGGACUUUUCAUCGUCGUACCAAGAGUAAUACGUUACCCAAAAAAAAUGCAUCAGCAGCAAUGGAGGAACUCAAUCCAUAGCAAUUUAAACCGUCUUCGCAUCUAAUAUAUCCACCCCCCAUAAAAACUUUGAGGAAUCGAUCUAAUUUAUCUGGAAUCUCACAUUCGCUAGCAAUUAAAUCGUCAGGUUUAUUUUUUGGUAGUUUUGAUUUUUCAAUUCUUAAAUAGUUUCUCGCAAGAUUAAUACGACUUUCUCAAUAAGGUCGUUUUCUUUGAGUUUACUAAUAUCAUCUUCUAAUAAACUAGAAUCUUUAGCAGGGCCGAGCCUAGGGUAUCCGUCGCCCGGAUGCAAGAAUAAAAUAUGCCGCCUUAUUAGCGUACCUAGUCGACAUUUGAUUAGUGAGGCGAGAUAUGAGGUAAAUUUCUAGUCUAGUAGGAUAGAAAUGUACCUACCUACAUACGCCGGGAAAAUAUUCAUUUGUAAAAAUCGUCUCUAUCUAGCAAAUGUGUCUAUAUCUUAUUGGAGAUAGGAAUACUUGUAUAAUUGUAUAAUUCAAUGCCGAUUUAUUAACAAAUAUAUAAACACGUGAAGAAACUAAAAUUUACAUUCUCGAGUUAGUAAAUAAUAGUCUGUUAUGUCCUGAAUGUCCUCCAAAAAUAGGGUUAUUAUGAUAUCUUUCUAGGAUCUGCGUUAUUUCUUCUUUCGUUUCCAUUACUUUUGGAACGCUACAUAUACUUAUUUGUAUAUUUUUCAAUUUUCUUUUACUUUCUUCUAUAAGUUCUUUAAUUGUGCACUUUGUAAAAAUAUAAUUAUUUUCAUAAAUCUUAUUUCCUCUAUUCCAUACUUUAUCUACAGUUUAUCGAGUUUCUCCAAUGUUCGUCCUAAUUCGAAGUUGUCGUAAUUUACUUCCAAAUACUUUAUUUAUGUAUGUACUUUAUUUAAAUUAUAAGAGAAAUUACACGUGGUAGGCCAACCUUUAUAAUACAA
Molecule: long non-coding RNA, 4512 nt
Organism: Diorhabda carinulata
Lineage: Eukaryota; Metazoa; Arthropoda; Insecta; Coleoptera; Chrysomelidae
Exons: 4
Source: RefSeq, a predicted model, not a curated record